UUGUAUGUGGUCAAUCCUCAGGAUGCCCGUUGAAAGAAAAAGAACAAAGGAAUUUCUGAGUGUGUCAGCUCGCCUGGGAGUGCUGGAGUCGAGCCCAUCCCAAGACCUGCUAGRGACCCUGGGAGGCCAGCCUCCAGCGCAGAGAAGAGGACCACAGUCCCUUAGGAAACACACACACCACACCGGCUUUGCUGGAGGCCCUUCCUACAAAGGGGAGCAUCGCAAAAGGGGCACUAAAAUGGCAAGUGGGUGGGGGCCAUGGCUCCAAGUGUGGCCAGUCUCCUCACCAGUUCACCCCUCUCCCAGAUCUAGUUAGCCUGGCCUCCUGUUUCCCACUCUGCUGGCAUGRUGGAAAAUCGUGAGAAUACUGAUCUAAGAGCAGGAACACUGACCAGCAGCCUGACCCCAAAGACCUAAGGGCCACUGCAACCUGACGCAGGACCCAGCAACAGGUAAUGACCAGCCAUUGGACCUGUGGCCUUGGAGAGGAAGCUGAGCUACUCCAAGCACUUCUGCCAGCUCUGUUGGGGAAAAUCAAGUCACAAGGUUUGCCCUCCACCCCAGGAGACCCAUUAAAGCCUGAAUCCGACUGGGAGCCACUUCAGCAGAGUUGGUGUUUGAUUCCCAAACAAUUCUGGGGCAUGGUAGUUGGCCUGGAAAACACUUGGAGAGGCCUGGGACACAGCAUCAUCCUGCUGGGGAGCACCUUCACGAAUUCAGGCGGUGUGAAAAGCCAACCAGCAGCUGCACAUGAAUUUUACAGAGAUUUCACAAAUGCACAACAAUGGAA
Molecule: long non-coding RNA, 790 nt
Filed under: Urocitellus parryii (Arctic ground squirrel)
Lineage: Eukaryota; Metazoa; Chordata; Mammalia; Rodentia; Sciuridae
Description: lncRNA (ENSUPAG00010001062.1)
Source: RNAcentral